AACGAACGCUGGCGGCAUGCCUAACACAUGCAAGUCGAACGAGACCUUCGGGUCUAGUGGCGCACGGGUGCGUAACGCGUGGGAACCUGCCCUUAGGUUCGGAAUAACUCCCCGAAAGGGGUGCUAAUACCGGUUAAUGUCUUCGGACCAACGAUUGAUGGCCUUUGGAUGGGCCCGCGUUGGAUUAGCUAGUUGGUAGGGUAAACGCCUACCAAGGCGACGAUCCAUAGCUGGUCUGAGAGGAUGAUCAGCCACGCUGGGACUGAGCGACGGCCCAGACUCCUACGGGAGGCAGCAGUGGGGAAUAGUGGACAAUGGGCGCAAGCCUGAUCCAGCAAUGCCGCGUGAGUGAGGAAGGCGUUAGGGUUGUAAAGCUCUUUUAACCGGGAUGAUAAUGACAGUACCGGGAGAAUAAGCUCCGGCUAACUCCGUG
Molecule: ribosomal RNA, 433 nt
Filed under: uncultured bacterium
Lineage: Bacteria
Description: partial 16S ribosomal RNA
Rfam family: Bacterial small subunit ribosomal RNA
Source: RNAcentral